This 295-nucleotide long non-coding RNA is filed under the name Serinus canaria (Common canary). RNAcentral's name for it is "lncRNA (ENSSCAG00000016421.1)". The record is from RNAcentral. Lineage: Eukaryota; Metazoa; Chordata; Aves; Passeriformes; Fringillidae.
CUUUGGCAGAGCGGUGUCAUCGGGGGCCCUGUCAUUCCCUGCCACCUCUGCUCUGGCAUCAGGGGCUGAUGAGGGAGCACAAACACCUCGGAUCCAGGGCAGGGUGUGUUCAUCCCCCACUCCUGGAGAUGCUGCACUGGGAAGCUGCAGAUCCUCUGCCGUGUUGUCCUGCUCUGAUCUAUGAUCCAACUCCCAAAGUUCUGCACUGCCAAAGGACUCUGAUAGAAGGUCAAGCUUGUUGAUUAUGAAAAAGUAAUUGAAAUUUGUUUUAUUGGGGCAGGGGAAGCAAGGGAAG